AACGCUGGCGGCGUGCCUAAUACAUGCAAGUCGAACGCACAGCGAAAGGUGCUUGCACCUUUCAAGUGAGUGGCGAACGGGUGAGUAACACGUGGACAACCUGCCUCAAGGCUGGGGAUAACAUUUGGAAACAGAUGCUAAUACCGAAUAAAACUUAGUGUCGCAUGACACAAAGUUAAAAGGCGCUUCGGCGUCACCUAGAGAUGGAUCCGCGGUGUAUUAGUUAGUUGGUGAGGUAAUGGCUCACCAAGACAAUGAUACAUAGCCGAGUUGAGAGACUGACCGGCCACAAUGGGACUGAGACACGGCCCAUACUCCUACGGGAGGCAGCAGUAGGGAAUCUUCCACAAUGGACGAAAGUCUGAUGGAGCAACGCCGCGUGUGUGAUGAAGGGUUUCGGCUCGUAAAACACUGUUGUAAGAGAAGAAUGACAUUGAGAGUAACUGUUCAAUGUGUGACGGUAUCUUACCAGAAAGGAACGGCUAAAUACGUGCCAGCAGCCGCGGUAAUACGUAUGUUCCAAGCGUUAUCCGGAUUUAUUGGGCGUAAAGCGAGCGCAGACGGUUAUUUAAGUCUGAAGUGAAAGCCCUCGGCUCAACCGAGGAAUUGCUUUGGAAACUGGAUAACUUGAGUGCAGUAGAGGAAAGUGGAACUCCAUGCGUAGCGGUGAAAUGCGUAGAUAUAUGGAAGAACACCAGUGGCGAAGGCGGCUUUCUGGACUGUAACUGACGUUGAGGCUCGAAAGUGUGGGUAGCAAACAGGAUUAGAUACCCUGGUAGUCCACACUGUAAAC
This 793-nucleotide ribosomal RNA is filed under the name uncultured Weissella sp. RNAcentral's name for it is "bacterial SSU rRNA". It matches the Rfam family "Bacterial small subunit ribosomal RNA", at positions 32 to 807 of the family's 1533-position model. Lineage: Bacteria; Bacillati; Bacillota; Bacilli; Lactobacillales; Lactobacillaceae. The record is from RNAcentral.